AGCUGUCCUUAGUACGAGAGGACCGGGAUGGACACACCGCUGGUGUACCAGUUGUUCCGCCAGGAGCAUCGCUGGGUAGCUAUGUGUGGCAGGGAUAAACGCUGAAAGCAUCUAAGCGUGAAGCCCCCCUCAAGAUGAGAUUUCCCAUUUCUUCGGAAAGUAAGAUCCCUGAAAGAUGAUCAGGUAGAUAGGUUUGGAGUGGAAGUGUAGCGAUACAUGGAGCGGACAAAUACUAAUCGAUCGAGGACUUAACCAAAAA
This 259-nucleotide ribosomal RNA is filed under the name Listeria monocytogenes. Its description in RNAcentral is "partial 23S ribosomal RNA". It matches the Rfam family "Bacterial large subunit ribosomal RNA", at positions 2670 to 2925 of the family's 2925-position model. The record is from RNAcentral. Lineage: Bacteria; Bacillati; Bacillota; Bacilli; Caryophanales; Listeriaceae.